CUACGGGGUGCUGCAGUGGGGGAUAUUGCACAAUGGAGGAAACUCUGAUGCAGCAACGCCGCGUGGAGGAUGACACUUUUCGGAGCGUAAACUCCUUUUAUAUAGGAAGAAGAUGACGGUACUAUAUGAAUAAGCGCCGGCUAACUCCGUGCCAGCAGCCGCGGUAAUACGGAGGGCGCAAGCGUUACUCGGAAUCACUGGGCGUAAAGAGCGUGUAGGCGGAUUAAAAAGUCAGAAGUGAAAUCCUAUAGCUUAACUAUAGAACUGCCUCUGAAACUCUUAAUCUAGAAUAUGGGAGAGGUAGAUGGAAUUUCUGGUGUAGGGGUAAAAUCCGUAGAGAUCAGAAGGAAUACCGAUUGCGAAGGCGAUCUACUAGAACAUUAUUGACGCUGAGACGCGAAAGCGUGGGGAGCAAACAGGAUUAGAUACCCUCGUAGUC
RNAcentral lists this ribosomal RNA (439 nucleotides) under uncultured bacterium. RNAcentral's name for it is "partial 16S ribosomal RNA". It matches the Rfam family "Bacterial small subunit ribosomal RNA", at positions 339 to 795 of the family's 1533-position model. The record is from RNAcentral.